Molecule: transfer RNA, 68 nt
Filed under: Euproctus platycephalus
Lineage: Eukaryota; Metazoa; Chordata; Amphibia; Caudata; Salamandridae
Description: tRNA-Glu
Rfam family: tRNA
About the family: Transfer RNA (tRNA) molecules are approximately 80 nucleotides in length. Their secondary structure includes four short double-helical elements and three loops (D, anti-codon, and T loops).
Source: RNAcentral
GUUUUUAUAGUUGAAUACAACGUUGGUUUUUCAAGUCAAAGGUUUUGGUUUAAGUCCAGGUAAGAAUA